RNAcentral lists this ribosomal RNA (1216 nucleotides) under Ormyrus nitidulus. RNAcentral's name for it is "bacterial SSU rRNA". It matches the Rfam family "Microsporidia small subunit ribosomal RNA". The record is from RNAcentral. Lineage: Eukaryota; Metazoa; Arthropoda; Insecta; Hymenoptera; Ormyridae.
CCAGGUUGAUUCUGCCUGACGUAGACGCUAUACUCUAAGAUUAACCCAUGCAUGUCAUUGAAUAAUUGAAAAGACGAACAGCUCAGUAACUCUUAUUUAAUUUGAUGUAUUAGGAUUCUAACUAUGUUAAAUUAUAGGUAACAAUAAUACAAUAAGAAUAAGAUCUAUCAGUUAGUUGUUAAGGUAAUGGCUUAACAAGACCGUGACGGAUAACGGUAUUACUUUGUAAUAUUCCGGAGAAGGAGCCUGAGAGAUUGCUACUAAGUCUAAGGAUUGCAGCAGGGGCGAAACUUGACCUAUGAUAUUUUAUUGAGGCAGUUAUGAGUAGUAUUUUAUAAUUAUUGUAAUAUUGUAAGUAUAUAUUACAAGAUAAAUCGGAGGGCAAAUCGAGUGCCAGCAGCCGCGGUAAUACUUGUUCCGAUAGUGUGUAUGAUGAUUGAUGCAGUUAAAAAGUCUGUAGUUUAUAUUUAAUAAACAUAGUGAGGUAUAUUGUAUGGUUAGGAGAGAGAUGAAAUGUGAUAACCCUAACUGGAUGAACAGAAGCGAAAGCUAUAUACUUAAAUGUAUUAUUAGAACAAGGACGUAAGCUAGAGGAUCGAAGAUGAUUAGAUACCAUUGUAGUUCUAGCAGUAAACUAUGUUAAAUCAUAGAUAUAUUAUUUAUAUAUUUAUGUAGAGAAAUUAAGAUUAUAUUGACUCUGGGGAUAGUAUGAUCGCAAGAUUGAAAAUUAAAGAAAUUGACGGAAGAAUACCACAAGGAGUGGAUUGUGCGGCUUAAUUUGACUCAACGCGGGGUAAUUUACCAGGUAUAACAUGAUAUAAUAUUUAUCAUGAUAGUGGUGCAUGGCCGUUUCCAAUGGAUGCUGUGAAGUAAUGAUUAAUUUCAACAAGAUGUGAGACCCUCAUAUAGACAGAUGUAGUGAUACAUAUGAAGGAGAGGAUUAAAACAGGUCCGUUAUGCCCUAAGAUAAAUCUGGGUUGCACGCGCAAUACAAUAAUAUUUCAUAUUAUAAGGGAUAAUAUAAUGUAUGAUACAUUAGAAUGUAUUAUCUAAAGGUUGUUUUAAAAAGGUGUAUUGAAGAUUGUGUAUGGUCUAUGUUUGUUCUUUUAUUGGGUGCAGUUAGUAGUGUAUUAUUUUGAUGUUUAAGUAAGUAUUGCUGGGUGGAAUAGGUUAAGUUCUGAGAAAGGUUAUAAUUAAACGUUAGGAAAAUAAAGUU